CCUACGGGCGGCAGCAGUGGGGAAUAUUGGACAAUGGGGGCAACCCUGAUCCAGCCAUGCCGCGUGUGUGAAGAAGGCCCUCGGGUUGUAAAGCACUUUCAGUGAGGAAGAACGCCUGGUGGUUAAUACCCAUCAGGAAACACAUCACUCACAGAAGAAGCACCGGCUAACUCCGUGCCAGCAGCCGCGGUAAUACGGAGGGUGCGAGCGUUAAUCGGAAUUACUGGGCGUAAAGCGCGCGUAGGUGGCUUGAUAAGCCGGUUGUGAAAGCCCCGGGCUCAACCUGGGAACGGCAUCCGGAACUGUCAAGCUAGAGUGCAGGAGAGGAAGGUAGAAUUCCCGGUGUAGCGGUGAAAUGCGUAGAGAUCGGGAGGAAUACCAGUGGCGAAGGCGGCCUUCUGGACUGACACUGACACUGAGGUGCGAAAGCGUGGGUAGCAAACAGGAUUAGAUACCUGAGUAGUC
Molecule: ribosomal RNA, 465 nt
Filed under: Vreelandella stevensii
Lineage: Bacteria; Pseudomonadati; Pseudomonadota; Gammaproteobacteria; Oceanospirillales; Halomonadaceae
Description: partial 16S ribosomal RNA
Rfam family: Bacterial small subunit ribosomal RNA
Source: RNAcentral